AUUGAACGCUGGCGGCAGGCCUAACACAUGCAAGUCGAACGGUAACAGGAAACAGCCUUCUGUUUCGCUGACGAGUGGCGGACGGGUGAGUCAUGUCUGGGAAACUGCCUGAUGGAGGGGGAUAACUACUGGAAACGGUAGCUAAUACCGCAUAAUGUCUCAAGCCCAAAGAGUGGGACCUUCGGGCCUUUUGCCCUCUGAUGUGUCCAGAUGGGAUUAGCUAGUAGGGGGGGUAACGGCUCACCAAGCCAACGAUCACUAGCUGGUCUGAGAGGAUGACCAGCCCCACUGGAACUGAGACACGGUCCAGACUCCUACGGGAGGCAGCAGUGGGGAAUAUUGCACAAUGGGCGAAAGCCUGAUGCAGCAAUGCCGCGUGUAUGAAGAAGGCCUUCGGGUUGUAAAGUACUUUCAGCGGGGAUGAAGGGAGUAAAGUUAAUACCUUUGCUCAUUGACGUUACCCGAAGAAGAAGCACCGGCUAACUCCGUG
Molecule: ribosomal RNA, 490 nt
Filed under: uncultured bacterium
Lineage: Bacteria
Description: partial 16S ribosomal RNA
Rfam family: Bacterial small subunit ribosomal RNA
Source: RNAcentral